AUGAAGAAUGACAAGUGAUUUACAGCUACUGAGAGAGGGAGAACUUGUUUUUCCCUGGCAUGAGAUCUUCAGACUGCUUAUCUAAUACCAAGUAGGAAGCUCUUGAAACAUGUACACGCAAACAACACUGAAGGGACCCAGCAAGCUGCAUAUAUGUGUCUCUUCAUUUAUAUGUCUUUUAGGUUUCGAGCACAGUUCAGCUGAGAGCCAUUGGGAUGAGGACACAGAAGCUUCCAGUCUGAGGAAACAAGAUCAGCUGAGAAGUUGGCCAGACACUAACGCCCGAAUGGACAGAGAGAACCGGUCAGACUUACCUCAGAUCUCCUUCCCCUGUUCAAGUACGUGCACACUGGGCUGAAAGCUCCACUGCCGCAGACAUACAGGUGAGUACGGUUGAAGGCCUGAAUAACACGGACGAAAUUCCCACAGCCGUGCUGGCAAAAGGAAGCAACAGUGAGACCACGUCCUAACGCCACCUCCAGCAGCUCUACUACCCUAAGACGUCAUGUGGGAGGUGACAUCUGGAAACACUCAAUUAACUUAUAGAAAUAGGAAAUCAAAUAUUGAGACUGGGCAUCAGAAAAAAUCCAGCUGUUCAGUAAUACUUAUAACACUGUUCCAGAAAGAGUGCCUCAACUGAGAUUUGCCAAACAUAAGCUGGGUGAUUUCAGAACUCUGGGUGUUUUCAGUGAACAGAACAGACAAAACCUUUAUUCUUACAGAGUUCGGAUUGGACAAACAUUGCUGUUUCUAUUUAAUCUCUUGUAACUCUAAGACUUCAUGAAAAUGCUCUCAACACAUCCAUACAUCCAAUUUAGACAUGUUCCUCUGCACAUUUUCUUUCUAACUUUUCAUUGUUAUUGUGAAGAGACAUCAUUGAAGAUACAAUAAGAGAACAAUUUGGUUUAUUCCAUUCAUCAGUCUUGGGAACAAGCAGCCUACCUCGUGUAUCAAUUCAAGUGAUUUUUUUCUCAUA
Molecule: long non-coding RNA, 976 nt
Organism: Peromyscus eremicus (cactus mouse)
Lineage: Eukaryota; Metazoa; Chordata; Mammalia; Rodentia; Cricetidae
Exons: 3
Source: RefSeq, a predicted model, not a curated record